GUGAGGAAUAUUGCGCAAUGGACGAAAGUCUGACGCAGCCAUGCCGCGUGAAGGAUUGACGGCCCUAUGGGUUGUAAACUUCUUUUGUAUAGGAAUAAACCCUCGUUCGUGAACGAGGCUGAAGGUACUAUAAGAAUAAGCACCGGCUAACUCCGUGCCAGCAGCCGCGGUAAUACGGAGGGUGCAAGCGUUAUCCGGAUUUAUUGGGUUUAAAGGGUCCGUAGGCGGAUCGUUAAGUCAGUGGUGAAAUCCUACCGCUCAACGGUAGAACUGCCAUUGAUACUGGCGAUCUUGAGUAUGUAUGAAGUUGGCGGAAUGUGUGGUGUAGCGGUGAAAUGCUUAGAUAUCACACAGAACACCGAUUGCGAAGGCAGCUGACUAAUACACAACUGACGCUGAGGGACGAAAGUGUGGGGAUCAAACAGGAUUAGAUACCCCAGUAGUCC
This 446-nucleotide ribosomal RNA is filed under the name uncultured bacterium. RNAcentral's name for it is "partial 16S ribosomal RNA". It matches the Rfam family "Bacterial small subunit ribosomal RNA", at positions 354 to 796 of the family's 1533-position model. The record is from RNAcentral.